RNAcentral lists this ribosomal RNA (253 nucleotides) under uncultured bacterium. Its description in RNAcentral is "partial 16S ribosomal RNA". It matches the Rfam family "Bacterial small subunit ribosomal RNA", at positions 524 to 776 of the family's 1533-position model. The record is from RNAcentral.
UACGUAGGGUGCAAGCGUUAUCCGGAAUCAUUGGGUUUAAAGGGUCCGUAGGCGGUUUUGUAAGUCAGUGGUGAAAUCCGGCAGCUCAACUGUCGCACUGCCAUUGAUACUGCAGGACUUGAAUUAUUGUGAAGUAACUAGAAUAUGUAGUGUAGCGGUGAAAUGCUUAGAUAUUACAUGGAAUACCCAUUGCGAAGGCAGGUUACUAACAAUACAUUGACGCUGAUGGACGAAAGCAUGGGGAGCAAACAGG